Molecule: ribosomal RNA, 465 nt
Filed under: uncultured bacterium
Lineage: Bacteria
Description: bacterial SSU rRNA
Rfam family: Bacterial small subunit ribosomal RNA
Source: RNAcentral
GAUGAACGCUAGCGGCGGGCCUAAUACAUGCAAGUUGAACGGGAUUGUUGGUAGCAAUAUUGACAUGAGAGUGGCGCACGGGUGCGUAACACGUAUGUAACCUACCUUUAACUGGGGCAUAGCUUCGAGAAAUCGAAAUUAAUACCCCAUAACAUUUAGAAAAGGCAUCUUUUCUUUAUCAAAGCUCAGGCGGUUAAGGAUGGACAUGCGGUGCAUUAGCUUGUUGGUGAGGUAACGGCUCACCAAGGCUACGAUGCAUAGGGGGUCUGAGAGGAUGAUCCCCCCACACUGGUACUGAGACACGGACCAGACUCCUACGGGAGGCAGCAGUAGGGAAUAUUGGGCAAUGGACGAAAGUCUGACCCAGCCACGCCGCGUGAAGGAUGAAGGCCUUAGGGUUGUAAAGCUCUUUUACCAGGGAUGAUAAUGACAGUACCUGGAGAAUAAGCACCGGCUAACUCCGUG